RNAcentral lists this ribosomal RNA (388 nucleotides) under uncultured bacterium. RNAcentral describes it as "bacterial SSU rRNA". It matches the Rfam family "Bacterial small subunit ribosomal RNA", at positions 28 to 416 of the family's 1533-position model. The record is from RNAcentral.
GACGAACGCUGGCGGCGUGCUCAACACAUGCAAGUCGAGCGGUAAGGCCCUUUCGGGGGUACGACGAGCGGCGAACGGGUGAGUAACACGUGGGUGACCUGCCCUCAGCUCUGGGAUAAGCCUGGGAAACUGGGUCUAAUACCGGAUAUGACUCCAUGACGCAUGUUGUGGGGUGGAAAGCCUUGUGCGGCUGAGGAUGGGCCCGCGGCCUAUCAGCUUGUUGGUGGGGUGAUGGCCUACCAAGGCGACGACGGGUAGCCGGCCUGAGAGGGCGACCGGCCACACUGGGACUGAGACACGGCCCAGACUCCUACGGGAGGCAGCAGUGGGGAAUCUUGCGCAAUGGGCGAAAGCCUGACGCAGCGACGCCGCGUGAGGGAUGACGGCC